RNAcentral lists this ribosomal RNA (445 nucleotides) under uncultured bacterium. Its description in RNAcentral is "partial 16S ribosomal RNA". It matches the Rfam family "Bacterial small subunit ribosomal RNA", at positions 354 to 796 of the family's 1533-position model. The record is from RNAcentral.
GUGAGGAAUAUUGGACAAUGGGCGCAAGCCUGAUCCAGCCAUGCCGCGUGCAGGAAGACGCAUCUAUGGUGUGUAAACUGCUUUUGUACGGGAAGAAACACUCCCUCGUGAGGGAGCUUGACGGUACCGUAAGAAUAAGGAUCGGCUACCUCCGUGCCAGCAGCGGCGGUAAUACGGAGGAUCCAAGCGUUAUCCGGAAUCAUUGGGUUUAAAGGGUCCGUAGGCGGUUUAAUAAGUCAGUGGUGAAAGCCCAUCGCUCAACGAUGGAACGGCCAUUGAUACUGUUAGACUUGAAUUACAAGGAAGUAACUAGAAUAUGUAGUGUAGCGGUGAAAUGCUUAGAUAUUACAUGGAAUACCAAUUGCGAAGGCAGGUUACUACUUGUGGAUUGACGCUGAUGGACGAAAGCGUGGGGAGCGAACAGGAUUAGAUACCCCUGUAGUCC